RNAcentral lists this unclassified non-coding RNA (929 nucleotides) under Bombus terrestris (buff-tailed bumblebee). RNAcentral describes it as "misc RNA ENSBTSG00005020571.1". The record is from RNAcentral. Lineage: Eukaryota; Metazoa; Arthropoda; Insecta; Hymenoptera; Apidae.
AUUAACAGCGAUAAAACUGGUAGAGAUCACAUUUAAGAAUAUAUUUGAAAGCAUACUAAGUUGCGAAGAAAAUUGACGAAUAAUGAACUAAAAAUUAAUCGACUGCCCCUGUGACUGGAAUGAGAAAAGUGUUCCAGAUUUCUACUCUUCAAUUAUGAACGAUAAAUCAAUGUACGGUAUAUAGUCGACGCCCUUCUUGUCGCGAGCAAUUAAACGCGAACCCGUAAUAUAAUACGGUAGUAUAGGCUGCGUUUAUGAUAAUCACACCUGAGUGCCUUCCCAUUCCGGUUGAAUAGCUGAUGUUCAGCGAGCACGGGCGAAUCGAUGUAGCACCGGCUCUCGUUCAUAGCGACAACAGCAAUAACAGCAACAUUUCAACCUACGUUAAUUUGUUCGCUGCUAGCUUAUGGUAUUACAAAGCCAUCUUCUGUAAAAGCGGACGGAAUAAGCGACCGAAUAACUAUGUAGCUUAUAGUAGCAGUUCUUGGUAUUCUGUAGCUUCGACACAAUGGGACACAAUAAGAUUGUAACGUUACGAUGGAUGAGCCCUGUCACCAUAUUAUUUGUCACCGUGCGAUUGAAUAGAUAACAAGAUACACGAUAUACAACGAGGCUCGAGUGAACAGAGUGUAAUUCUUUCUGAAUCGCUAUAUAGCACGAAAACUAAUUUCUUCGUAUAAGAACAUUUCCCUUUUACAUAUGUCGAUGAAAAUAUUUUAUCUUUCGUGAAAGUUGAAAUCUUCGAAAGAAUAUUAAACAUCGAAACAAAAACUAUUUAUCCGGUUAAUUAAAAAGUCUUGUGAAUUUAUAUCAACGAGUUUUAUCCCGUUAUGGCUGCGUAAGAGAAUUUAUCAAUAGUAGUCACCUAUAUCUUUUAAUUUGUAACGUUAUUAGGAGGGUCGAGAUGUUCAAAUACUUAUGGCCAACAG